CGUGUAGACGGCUUGGUAAGUCAGAUGUGAAAGCCCUGGGCUCAACCCGGGAAGUGCAUUUGAAACUGUCAGGCUCGAGUAGGGGAGAGGGAAGUGGAAUUCCUGGUGUAGAGGUGAAAUUCGUAGAUAUCAGGAGGAACACCGGUGGCGAAGGCGACUUCCUGGCCCUAUACUGACGCUGAGACGCGAGAGCGUGGGUAGCAAACA
Molecule: ribosomal RNA, 207 nt
Filed under: uncultured Pseudomonadota bacterium
Lineage: Bacteria; Pseudomonadati; Pseudomonadota
Description: uncultured proteobacterium partial 16S ribosomal RNA
Rfam family: Bacterial small subunit ribosomal RNA
Source: RNAcentral